RNAcentral lists this ribosomal RNA (628 nucleotides) under Pyrenochaeta sp. 112_114B. RNAcentral's name for it is "eukaryotic LSU rRNA". The stretch from base 256 to 409 matches the Rfam family "5.8S ribosomal RNA". The record is from RNAcentral. Lineage: Eukaryota; Fungi; Ascomycota; Dothideomycetes; Pleosporales; Cucurbitariaceae.
UUUUUCUUUUUGCAUUAGAGGAAAGUAAUAGUCGUAAUCAAGGUUUCCGUAGGUUGAACCUGCGGAAGGAUCAUUAAUUGUAUGAACGGGGGCCGGCGAGGGAUUGCGCACUUCGGUGCGCCUUUCUUCCCCGCCCUGUCUGAUACUACCCAUGUCUUUUGCGUACCAAUUGUUUCCUCGGUGGGCUUGCCCGCCGGUUGGACACUAUAAAACCUUUUGUAAUUGCAGUCAGCGUCAGAAAAACAUAAUAAUUACAACUUUCAACAACGGAUCUCUUGGUUCUGGCAUCGAUGAAGAACGCAGCGAAAUGCGAUAAGUAGUGUGAAUUGCAGAAUUCAGUGAAUCAUCGAAUCUUUGAACGCACAUUGCGCCCCUUGGUAUUCCAUGGGGCAUGCCUGUUCGAGCGUCAUUUGUACCCUCAAGCUCUGCUUGGUGUUGGGUGUUUGUCCCGCUUUGCGCGUGGACUCGCCUUAAAGCAAUUGGCAGCCGGCAAUCUGGUUAUAGAGCGCAGCACAUUUUGCGCUUCUUGCCAUGGAUGUCGGCAUCCAUCAAGUACAUUUUUUUGCUCUGACCUCGGAUCAGGUAGGGAUACACGCUGAACUUAAGCAUAUCAAUAAGAGAGAAGGGA